RNAcentral lists this long non-coding RNA (277 nucleotides) under Setaria italica (foxtail millet). RNAcentral's name for it is "long non-coding RNA (SITA_LNC007011)". Lineage: Eukaryota; Viridiplantae; Streptophyta; Magnoliopsida; Poales; Poaceae. The record is from RNAcentral.
CCUCCUGGUCGUCUUUUGGUCAUCGCGGUCGCCCGUGGUCAUCUUUGAGUCAUCGUGAUGGCGGUCGUUGGUCUGCGGAUGUUCCCCAUCGUCAUUGUUGUGGACUGCUCGCUGCCAUUCCAUCGAUUUGGCUCUCAUUCAGGCCUUGGCGGUCUGCUGCGUGGAGUUGGUUCUGGGGGCUUUAGCGAAAGUUUUGCCCGGUUUUCGCCGGUGCCAACAACGAUUGCAUUCCUUAACGUAGCUCACCUCGAUGAGGACAUUGUUGCGGCCACCAAAU